This 330-nucleotide ribosomal RNA is filed under the name uncultured bacterium. RNAcentral's name for it is "bacterial SSU rRNA". It matches the Rfam family "Bacterial small subunit ribosomal RNA", at positions 568 to 898 of the family's 1533-position model. The record is from RNAcentral.
UGUGUAGGCGGCUGUCUAAGUUUGGUGUGAAAUCUCCCGGCUCAACCGGGAGGGUGCGCCGAAAACUGGAUGGCUAGAGUGCGGGAUGGGAGAGUGGAAUUCCUGGUGUAGCGGUGAAAUGCGUAGAUAUCAGGAGGAACACCGGUGGUGUAGACGGCUCUCUGGACCGUAACUGACGCUGAAACACGAAAGCGUGGGUAGCAAACAGGAUUAGAUACCCUGGUAGUCCACGCCCUAAACGAUGCAUAUUUGGUGUAGGUCAUUCAGUUGAUCUGUGCCGGAGCUAACGCGUUAAAUAUGCCGCCUGGGGAGUACAGUCGCAAGGCUGAA